Long non-coding RNA from Felis catus (domestic cat), 967 nucleotides. RefSeq lists it as uncharacterized. Lineage: Eukaryota; Metazoa; Chordata; Mammalia; Carnivora; Felidae. The record is from RefSeq and is a predicted model, not a curated record. The transcript is spliced from 2 exons.
UCAAAAUAAGUAAACUUAAAAAAAGAGAUUAAUUUAAAAAAAAUUUUUUAAAAAGAAAUGAUAGGGAAAACCAAAGACAUAGGCUUGGAAGAGCAGAAAAAAAAUAAAAGGAGAUUUGGAAGCCAGGGCCAUGGCCAAACUCAAACAUAUGGUGAGGGCAUUGCUAUAGCAAUGGGCAACUUCAUUUGCACUAAUGCCUCUGAAUUUAUAGUUUCCACAUGUUGCUGUCUUUCCUGCUGAAAGAAAUCCUCCACUGUUAUUUUUUAUUCAUAGCAUAGAAUAAAGUUAUAUUUUCAGAAUUAUAUUUCAAAAUUAAAUUCCAGAAAGGAGUAUCACGUAUUAUAAUCCUGGUUGUCACAGGCAUGGAUCUUUUUAGCUUUGGAAGUGGGAGAUGGGCUCUUGUCCUCACCAGGACUUUUGAAAUCAGGAACUCCCCAAACAUCAAUGGGAGUUCAGAUGCUGGGCAGCCAAAAACAUGAAAACAAAAACAAAAACAAAAACAUUGUAGCUUCUAAAAUUUUACUAAAAGGCAGUAGCAUGCUAGUAAAUGUUUAACAGUUGGCACUCCAGAGGGAAAAGGCAUUGAUUUGUAGCAUUUGCCAAUUUCUAGGUGAAAGUAUCCCACUAUGUUGAAUUUCAAGCUACCAGUGUGAUGUUUCUAACAGAGUUGGAAAAAGAUGAACUCAAUCCUCUCUCAUGAGUUGGUAUCACCUCUUGCUGGAGGUUUUCUCUGAUGGCCAAAGUUGGAAUAAUGCCUCUGCCAUGUACCUAUGUGGGAACCAGAGCGGUUCUCACAUGCAUCCACUUUAUUUCUCCUGACCUGUCUUCCUUGUGGAGUUAUAGUCUUUCUGAGUGUGGUAAGCCAGCCAUAUGCACUGUUUCAUUCCUUGCGUCUUGACAAGACCUGGCACCAAGAGGGGGGCUCAGCAAGCAUUUGUUGAAUACAUAAUGAGGGUAGAAUACAUAA